ACAGUUCUUUGUUCUUGAUUGCGAAUUAUAUUUAAGACAAUGCAUUACUUUUACUGUAUUUUAUUUUAACAAUAGGCUUAUUUUUGUUAUCCAUUCAAUUUAUUGAACUUGUCGAAAUCACUUAUCUUGUAGGCUUUAAGGGCAAAUAGCUACGUGUGCAAUGCAAAUUCAUAAAAAAAAUUUUAAGAAUUUUAAGAAAUUUAAGACAAUAUGCUUCUUGAUUGCAACGAAUAUUAAAGGAAAUGUAGACCUUUUGUAAUAAUAUUUUAUGUGAUGUUAGUAUUGAUGGUGCGGUACACGUUUUUGAUAAACAACCCAGUUAAUAAAGUUAAUAACGUUAAAGCCUAAAUUUGUGCUAAAAACUAAGCAACUUGUUGCCCAAUCUUCAGUCAUAACAUUCUUGCUUUUCCCAUUCGAUGAAAUUCUUAAACGCUAUUCUAAAAGGUUGACGUUACUAAAACCCCCCGCCAACAUACUAAUUUUGUUUACCAACAUUUAGCCGAAUAUAUAUAUGAUUAACAGUGAAGAUACUUAUCGACAUGCACCAGACAUAUUGAUUUUUAAUAUGUUUUGGACAGAAGUAUUGCCUUGAAAGAUCCAUUUUUAGUCAGUCCUAGUUAAAUCAAACUAUACAAACAUUUUCAAGAUAGCUAUACACUAGGCUGUUCAGUCACGUGACUUUUUGCCGUGUUCGGAAAUUCAGCUUAAAACAAGCUCGCACACGGCAACGCGUAUUUUGUUAUUGCGCGUGAUGGCACUUAUUUUAAAUCGUCGAAUUCGGCACCUAUUUCGCUUAAGACAGAUGGUGUAUGGGCAGAUAGUGAUUGUUAAGUACCUUAAAUUUGUUUUUUUGAAUGAGACUUGUUUAAACGACCAACAGUGUAUUCAGAUUUCGACGAGGGAAAUGUAAACUUGGCGCAAACAGAGGAAAGUGCAUGACGUAUCAGUCUUGGAAUGAUGGCUAUUAAUCAUGGCUAUGUGCUAGAUAUUCCAGUUAACAUUAGACACAGCUACUAAACUAAAGCACCAAAGCUAGCUAGCUACCUAGCUAUAUAUAUAUUAGCCGAAGUAGUGGACCAGAAGAUGGAGUGUGUGAUGUUGUGUUUAAUUAUUCCAUACCACUGUGUGGUUAAUAGAUAAAGGUAUAU
Long non-coding RNA from Hydractinia symbiolongicarpus, 1148 nucleotides. RefSeq lists it as uncharacterized. The transcript has 2 exons. Lineage: Eukaryota; Metazoa; Cnidaria; Hydrozoa; Anthoathecata; Hydractiniidae. The record is from RefSeq and is a predicted model, not a curated record.